AAUUCUUUGACGUAUUCGCUGG
This 22-nucleotide microRNA is filed under the name Drosophila melanogaster (fruit fly). RNAcentral describes it as "dme-miR-4984-3p". The record is from miRBase by way of RNAcentral. Lineage: Eukaryota; Metazoa; Arthropoda; Insecta; Diptera; Drosophilidae.